GAACUACUGCACUAGCUGGCUUGUACUUCCUAUUUUUUUUCUUUUUUGACUGCUGAAUACUAGGUUACAUACUGAACCAUUCUGCUCUAGUUUUUGGAAAAAGUUUUGUUGGAACAUUUUUUUUCAGGUAAACAGGUUUCUUACAAAUAAGGAAAAUUUAUUACUUUGCUAGUAGAGAACAAUUUCCACCAGUGGAAAUUCUUCACAUGGUGUCUUUUCACGUCUUCUUAAAA
Molecule: unclassified non-coding RNA, 233 nt
Filed under: Hevea brasiliensis (rubber tree)
Lineage: Eukaryota; Viridiplantae; Streptophyta; Magnoliopsida; Malpighiales; Euphorbiaceae
Source: RNAcentral